Molecule: long non-coding RNA, 3172 nt
Filed under: Cucumis sativus (cucumber)
Lineage: Eukaryota; Viridiplantae; Streptophyta; Magnoliopsida; Cucurbitales; Cucurbitaceae
Description: long non-coding RNA (CSAT_LNC000217)
Source: RNAcentral
UCUUAGGGAGGGGUUAGGGGUUAGGGGUUGGAAGGUAUGAGGGGUUGGGGGUUGGGUUUCGAGGUUUAGACUUUUUGAGGUUUCGACGUUUUGGGGUUUUGGGGGUUGGGGGUUGAGGGUUGGGGGUUUGGUGUUUGGGGGAUGGGAGGUUGGAAGGUUGCAAGGUUUGGGGUCUGGGUUUAGGCGUUUUGGUUUCGAGGUUCAAACUUUUCGAGGUUUUGAGGUUUGUGGUUUUGGGGUUAUAGGUUUCGAGGUUUGAGGUUUGUGAGGUUCGAGGUUCGAGUUUUGGGGUUCGCGGUUAAGGGUUUGGGGUUAGGGGUUAAGGGUACUUUAGGGUUUAGUGUUUAGGAUUUUGGGUUUGGAUUUCGGGAUUGGGGAUUGGGGUUUGGGGUUUGUGGGUUGGGGUACUUUGGGGUUAAAGUUUAGGAUUUAUGGUUUACGGAUUUAGGGGUUUAGGGGUUUACGGUUUAGGGUGCAUGGAUCGGUUCGGAGUUCGUGAUUUCAAGAUUCGGGGUGGCGCAUUUGGGGUUUCAUAGUUUAAGGUUUAGGUUAGAGUUAUAGAGUUGUGUGUUAUUAGCUUUCGAGACGAUGACCAAUAUUAAUCAAAGUUUGAUACCCAAAAUGCAUGUAAUUCGAAUCAUAAUAAGAAACUCAAAAUUUCAAACCAAUCCAUAAUACAAAAUGCAUAGAUAUUCCCUAACUAAUAGAAAUUGUUAUCUCCACCAACAAAGUUUGAAGUUAGGAUUACAGGUUUCAGAUUUCGAGUUUCAGGGUUUUGGGGUUGGUGGUUGGGGGUUUGGAGGUUUAGAGGUUUGGGGGCUGGGUUUCGAGGUUUGGGGUUUUGGGGUUUCAUGUUUUGUGUUCAGGGUUCGAGGUUCGAGGUUUGGGGUUAAGGGUACUUUAGGGUUUAGUGUUUAGGAUUUUAGGGUUCUGGUUUCGAGAUUGGGGAUUUGGGGUUCAGGGUUCGUGGUUUGGGGUACUUUAGGGUUUAUGGUUAAGGGGUUAAAGUUUAGGAUUUAUGAUUUACGGCUUUAGGUUUUUAGGGGUUUAAGGUUUAGUGUUUUAGGUUUCAAGGUUUAGGGUGCUUGGAUCGGUUUGGGGUUCGUGAUUUCGGGUUUAGGGUAGAGCGUUUGGGGUUUCAAGUUUUAGGUUUCAGGGUUUUGGGGUUUUCGGGAUUUUGGGUUUGGGGGUUGGGUUAGGGGUUUUAGGUUUCGAGGUUUAGACUUUUCGAGGUUUCGAGGUUUGUGGUUUUGGGGUUUCAAGUUUCGUGUUCAGGGUUCGAGGUACGGGGUUCGGGGUUAAGGGUACUUUAAGGUUUAGUGUUUAAGAUUUUAGGGUUCGGGUUUCGAGAUUAGGGUUUGGGGUUCGUGGUUUGCGGUACUUUAGGGUUUAGGGUUUAGGGUAGAGUUUUAGGGCUGUGUGUACUUAGAUUCCAAGACGAUGACUAGUAUUAAUCAAAGUUUGAUACCCAAAAUGCAUGUAAUUCGAAUCAUAAUAAGAAACUCCAACUUUCAAACCAAUCCAUAAUACAAAGUGCUUAAAUAUUCCCUAAAUAAUAGAAAUUAUUAUCUCCACCAAUAAAGUUUGAAGUUAGGAUUACAGGUUUAGAGGUUUGGAGGUUGGAAGGUUUGAGGGGUUGGGUUUAGUGGUUUCAAGGUUUUAGGGUUUGGAAGUUUGGGAGUUGAGGGUUGGAGGGUUUGAGGGUUGGGUUUAGGGGUUUUGGGUUUCGAGGUUUAGACUCUUCGAGGUUUCAAGGUUUGUGGUUUUGGGGUUUUCGAUUUCGAGUUCAGGGUUCGAGGUUCAAGGUUCGAGGUACGGGGUUCAGGAUUCGGGAUUUGAAAUUAAGGGUACUUUAGGGUUUAGUUUUUAGGAUUUUGGGUUUGGAUUUCAGGAUAAGGGUUUGGGGUUCGGAGUUCGUGGUUUGGGGUACUUUGGGGUUUAUGGAUUAGGUGUUAAAGUUUAGGAUUUAUGGUUUAUGGUUUAGGUUUUUGAGGGUUUAAGGUUUAAGGUUUUAGGUGCAUGGAUCGGUUUGGGAUUCGUGAUUUCAGGAUUCGGGGUGUGGCGUUUGGGAUUUCAGGGUUUAGGGUUUAGGAUUUAGGUUAGAGUUAUAGGGUUGUGUGUUAUUAGAUUUUGAGACGAUGACCAAUAUUAAUCAAAGUUUGAUACCCAUAAUAAGAAGCUCAAUUUUGGAGGGUUUGGAGGGUUGGAGGGUUUGGAAGUUUGGGAGUUGAGGGUUGGAGGGUUUGAGGGUUGGGUUUAAGGGUUUUGGGUUUCGAGGUUUAGGGUUGGGGUUUUGAAGGUUUAGGGGUUAGGGGUUGGAAGGUUUGAGGGGUUAGGGGUUGGGUUUCGAGGUUUAGACUUUUCAAGGUUUCGACGUUUUGGGGUUUUGGGGGUUGGGGGUUGGGGGGUUGGAGGUUUGGGGGAUAGGAGGUUGGAAGGUUUGGGGUUUGGGUUUAGGGGUUUUGGUUUCGAGGUUCAAACUUUUCGAGGUUUUGAGGUUUGUGGUUUUGGGGUUAUAGGUUUUGAAGUUCGAGGUUUGAGAUUCGAGGUUCGAGUUUCAGAGUUCGGGGUUCAGGGUUCGGGGUUAGGGGUUAAGGGUACUUUAGGGAUUAGUGUUUAGUAUUUUGGGUUUGGAUUUCGGGAUUGGGGAUUGGGGUUUGGGGUUUGUGGGUUGGGGUAUACUGUGGGGUUUACGGUUUAGUGAGUUAAAGUUUAGGAUUUAUGGUUUACGAUUUUAGGGGUUUAGGGGUUUAGGGUUUAGGGUGCAUGGAUCGGUUCGGAGUUCGGGAUUUCAAGAUUCGGGGUGGGAGCGUUUGGGGUUUCAUAAUAAGGUUUAGGUUAGAGUUCUAGGGUUGUGUGUUAUUAGAUUCUGAGACGAUGACCAAUAUUAAUCAAAGUUUAAUACCCAAAAUGCAUGUAAUUCGAAUCAUAUAAUAAGAAACUCAAAAUUUCAAACCAAUCCAUAAUACAAAAUGCAUAGAUAUUCCCUAACUAAUAGAAAUUGUUAUCUCCACCAACAAAGUUUGAAGUUAGGAUUACAGGUUUCAGAUUUCGAGUUCAGGGAUUAGGGGUUUUGGGGUUGGGGGUUGGGGGUUUGGAGGUUUGGAGGUUAGGGGGUUGGGUUUCGAGGUUUGUGGUUUUGGGGUUUCAGGUUUCGUGUUCAGGGUUCAAG